RNAcentral lists this long non-coding RNA (524 nucleotides) under Androctonus crassicauda. Lineage: Eukaryota; Metazoa; Arthropoda; Arachnida; Scorpiones; Buthidae. The record is from RNAcentral.
AAAUAAUGUUGAGCAUCGGUGUUUGGUUGUUUGGAACUGGCUAUGAUACAUUGUGGCUGUUUUUUCGGUCAUUAUGCAAUUUCAUUGUGUCUCUAGUCCCAAUGGCACGGUUUUUAGUCCAAUUAAACUAAAUGAAGAGAGAAACUUUAUUCUGAGUAUCACAAUUUUUGAUGAGGGUUUCGUCUCCUUGAUAAUGGUGUCAAUUUAUCUAAUAGGUCUGGUGAUAUGUUGGGAUGACUAUUUAACAAUACAAUGUAUAGUGGGAUCAGGCGACUGAUUUUUCGUGUCCAGUUCUCUGUUGUUUUUCUGACCUGUCUCUUUGGACUUCUUUCCACCAACCGACGACAACUCUUUCUUCUCGAACAUUUGUCUAAUACUUUUAUUUCCUUCUCUUCCUAGAGAUAGAUGUUUUCUCCAUCUUAUCCCUGGUUACAUUCCAUACUUCUCAUCUUUAUACCACCUGCAUAUCAUCCAACCCUCUCCCAUCAUUGUAAUUUUUUGCGUGUUUGUCUUAUUUUUAUUGU